CCUCCGCGGCUGGGCGGCCGCUCCUCUGCGCCCCGCCGACCCCCCCGAGGUCCCCGCGCGGGGCCUGGAGCGGGGAGCGCGGGGAGCAGCCCGGGCGCCCCAGCUCGGCCGCGCGGGGUCGUCCGCUGCGCCCGGGAACCGGAGGCCCACAAGUUCCUUCCGUCGUUGGCUCCUUCGUUCCCGGUUAUGGACCAGAAGCCUGCAAGGGACAUGGCCGGGGACAGAGAGGACGAGCAAGGGUGCGGGAGUCGCAGCCCCCCAGGAGGGGAGCCAGCGGCCUGUGCUCUUGCAUCUCCCCCACCGCUAAGUGGACCUGGUGCAGGUGCCCGCGACUCCCCCACACCCACAAAGAAGGCGGCAGCAAAACCAAAUGCACAUCCAGGCGCUUGUCUGAAGCUAAGCUCUGGUAUAUGGAUCAGCCAAACUUGAGAUUUCAGGUACCCAGUCCUUACUCAGUUUUUGUCGAUGGGCAAGAAAGCCUCAUCAGACAGCAAAG
Molecule: long non-coding RNA, 496 nt
Filed under: Vulpes vulpes (red fox)
Lineage: Eukaryota; Metazoa; Chordata; Mammalia; Carnivora; Canidae
Description: lncRNA (ENSVVUG00000019917.1)
Source: RNAcentral